This 279-nucleotide ribosomal RNA is filed under the name uncultured bacterium. RNAcentral describes it as "partial 16S ribosomal RNA". It matches the Rfam family "Bacterial small subunit ribosomal RNA", at positions 506 to 784 of the family's 1533-position model. The record is from RNAcentral.
UGCCAGCCGACGCGGUAAUACGCACGGUCCAAGCGUUAAUCGGAAUUACUGGACGUAAAGCGCGCGUAGGCGGCUUGUUAAGUCAGAUGUGAAAUCCCCGAGCUCAACUUGGGAACUGCAUUUGAUACUGGCAGGCUAGAGUAUGUUAGAGGAAAGCGGAAUUCCGGGUGUAGCGGUGAAAUGCGUAGAUAUCCGGAGGAACAUCAGUGGCGAAGGCGGCUUUCUGGAACAAUACUGACGCUGAGGAGCGAAAGCGUGAGGAGCAAACAGGAUUAGAUA